GCUGCACUGCUUGAGGGCUUCAGUCAGAUUUUUUGUGGAAUGCUUUCGACAUUGGUGGUACCGUACCACUGCUUGCUACAUACUCGUGAUUGCUAAACUUGAGGCCCUGCUAUUGGUCGG
Neltuma alba is the source of this 120-nucleotide long non-coding RNA. RefSeq lists it as uncharacterized. The transcript has 3 exons. The record is from RefSeq and is a predicted model, not a curated record. Lineage: Eukaryota; Viridiplantae; Streptophyta; Magnoliopsida; Fabales; Fabaceae.